AUUCCAGCUCCAGUAGCGUAUAUUAAAGUUGUUGCAGUUAAAAAGCUCGUAGUUGGAUUUCUGACUUCAGAUACCUGACCCUCCCUCGCUAGAGGUGUGUGUGCCGGAGUAUUUGUAUCAUCCUUUCAGUGAUCGGCUCUACCCUUAACCGGGUCGGAGCUGCUAGCUGGAUCUUUUACUUUGAAGAAAUUGGAGUGUUUAAAGCAGGCUUACGCCAGAACAUAUUAGCAUGGAAUAAUAAUUUAGGACUUUUGUUCUAUUUUGUUGGUUUCUAGGACGAAAGUAAUGAUUGAUAGGGAUAGUUGGGGGUGCUAGUAUUCGGCGGCCAGAGGUGAAAUUCUUUGAUCCGCUGAAGACUAACUUAUGCGAAAGCAUUCACCAAGGAUGUUUUCAUUG
Molecule: ribosomal RNA, 396 nt
Filed under: Cercozoa sp.
Lineage: Eukaryota; Cercozoa
Description: partial small subunit ribosomal RNA
Rfam family: Eukaryotic small subunit ribosomal RNA
Source: RNAcentral